Long non-coding RNA from Phymastichus coffea, 1009 nucleotides. RefSeq lists it as uncharacterized. The record is from RefSeq and is a predicted model, not a curated record. NCBI's taxonomy places the organism in Eukaryota, Metazoa, Arthropoda, Insecta, Hymenoptera, Eulophidae. The transcript is spliced from 4 exons.
UGUGAUUGGCAUUAGUUGGCACUGCGAACACUCAGAAGUAGUUGUUGUUAUUGACUUCUUGAAGUUAUUGGAAAUUAAUAUGAAAUAAUAGAAAUUUAUUAUUAUGGAAUAAUGUUAAUACACACAUACCUUGGGUAGAAAUAGAUUAGGAAUUAAAGGGACCGACUUUUCCAAUAGAAUUAAAGGAAGCAUUUGUUGUAAUUAAAAAAAUAAAAAUUUAUCAACUAAACCGUUGGAGAAAAUUGAACAAUGAAAAUUUAAUCAUAGGCGAGAAUGUAAAGCUCUUUCAAGUUAUGUUCGGUGUUCACCAAUAAAAAAACAAAGUUAUCGAAAAUAAAGAAUAAAAGAAGAAAUCCCUUGAAACCUAUGGACGCCAAUGUGAAUCAAGCAUCAACACCUAGCUUCAAAAAGAAGAAACGUCCAGACUCAAUACUUACUCACAAGUUUUCUCAUACUAAGAACGGCUGCAAUAGACGAUUUAAAUACAAGAGCAAUCUCUACCGGUACAUGCUAUAGAGUGCCAAGUAAAAAAAACCAUUCAAAUGUGAAUUGUGUAACUACGAAGCUUCUUAUGCUGCAAACAUUAGAAAGCAUUCCUGUAGUUAUCACAACGAUUCAAUGACUGUUGUGUUGGAUAUGCGUAAGAAUGGACAGAUUUGGAAACUGCCAAAGAAUUCAAAAUUUGAUUCUAUACGAAAAGAACUUGGUUUAUCCAAUUAGUUCUCUUUUAUGUUUCGAGUAUUCAACAAUAUUCUUUUCGACACUCCGUGCGGAAAGUGCGUUUUUUCCGCACGCUCGGCAAAAAACGUGCGUUAAAAAUCACACUUCCCAUACGUCGUAUCAAAAAAUACGGUACGGCACAUGUUCGGGAAAGAGUUUCUCGUCUCGUGUAUCUUUCCACCCUCGCUUCGCUCGGGCGUAAACGCCACACGAGACAAGAAUCUACUUUCCCGCACUUGUAUCGUAAUGUACUAUUUUGGUUCUAUCUGGUUAUCUAUUAUUUAUAUUU